This 68-nucleotide small nucleolar RNA is filed under the name Aotus nancymaae (Ma's night monkey). Its description in RNAcentral is "Small nucleolar RNA SNORD77 (ENSANAG00000004726.1)". It matches the Rfam family "Small nucleolar RNA SNORD77". From Rfam's summary of the family: U77 belongs to the C/D family of snoRNAs. It is predicted to guide 2'O-ribose methylation of large 28S rRNA subunit at position A1521. The C/D snoRNAs U44, U47, U74, U75, U76, U78, U79, U80 and U81 share the same host gene as U77 (non-coding). The record is from Rfam by way of RNAcentral. Lineage: Eukaryota; Metazoa; Chordata; Mammalia; Primates; Aotidae.
GUACUAUGAUAGUUGCAUCCUUCAGCAGGUCGAAUCAUCAAGAGAUUUAAUAUUUGUCUGAUGUAUCU